Molecule: unclassified non-coding RNA, 246 nt
Filed under: uncultured fungus
Lineage: Eukaryota; Fungi
Description: sequence contains ITS1
Rfam family: 5.8S ribosomal RNA (bases 1-115)
Source: RNAcentral
UGAAAGGCGAAACGUAAUGUGAAUCGCAACUAACAGUGAAUCAUCGAAUCUUUGAACGCAGGCCGCGCUUUGCAUAUCACUCGUGUUAUCGCAAGGCAUUUACGUAUGAGUGUCAGCCUAAUAUACUUUUGGUUUAAUGGUAAUUUAUGUACUAUUGAAUUCAUUGUGCGAAUAUCAUUUUGAUAUACGCGUUUAACAAAUUUGUAUGUCUGGCCUCAUAUGUGAAAGGUUACCCGCUGGAUUUAA